UUUUUUUAAAUGAGAAGCCAUGCCUCUCAUGCUUUUGUCAGAAUAGAGCAGUUUUGCUGCUUAAAGUCAGAUCUGCACCUUUUGCAAUAAAGAAGGAUAAAUCUUUGCCUUAAAGCUGCAGACCAGCUGCCAACCGCACCUUCCGAUGUAUGAAGAUAGAAAUAUGUUAACUAUUGAGCUGUGAAGCCCUUGGAAAUAAUCCACACAAAAGAAUUUCGGAAAUGAAAGCUGUCUUUGCCAUCUUCUGUUUAAUUAACACAGCCAAUAAGGUGCAAGUUCUUGUUGCCCAAUCCCCACCUUCAUCCAAGGAACAGGUCUGAGUAAUCUAUUGAAAGGAGAAAAUUAAUGAUUAGAAGGUAAUACACAGAGGGCUUCCCAGAUAAUGACAAAGUUGUAUGUAGAUAGAGAUAGCAACAAAACUAGAUCUAUGCAUCAAGACUCAAAGCCUUUCUAACUUCUGGAUGGUUUGAUGCAUUCACUGAAGUCUGGCCAACAUGACCUGAGGGUAUUUGCAUUGAUGAGAAGCUUCCAAACAUUCUGCCUCCCUUUCCUUCCUCUAUCCUCAACAAGUCCUGGAACUACCUCUGAAGACAUUUAAGAAGGAAAGCUGCUGCAUUCUGCAUGAGUGAGUUUAGUAACUUCCAUCUUCAACUCUGGAUACUGAGAACUGCUAAGGCCCAGCCUAGAAAUGAUGAACACACAGAUCAUUGUGGCCAGAUCCUCAUCUAAGAAGACUGGAGUCCAGGUUUGCUGUCGUGGAGACCAGAGAAGAAGUAACCAAAGAAAGGAAAAGAAACACUGGAGAAUAAAAGUACAUUUGAAAUGGAAGAAAUCUACAUUUCAAUGAAAAUACUUUUAAGCCAUUUCAGAUGACUGAGUGAAAUAAUUACAAAGUUUGGAAAUAGAGAACAGUAGCUUUGAUAUCUUUUUCUUCUGUGAAGCAAUUAAAAUAAGCAAUUUUUCAAAUACUAAGCAGAAAAUUGCUAAUGGUUGAACCCAAAAGCUUUCAUUUCGUUCUUGGGGUCUUUUUUCUUCUAAAAAAAGACCAAAAAAUAUUAAGGUGGUUUUCUAGAUAGAUUAAUGCAUAAAGCAGUUGUUAGUUGGAUGUCAUAAAAACUACAGCAGCACAGAAUAGCCGAGAUUAAGAGCCAGAUUUAAAUCAUGCAACAGUCCAGUUAAUAUCAAUGUAUAAUUAAGAAAAGCAUCAGAAGUCUGUAAUGGUGAUUUGAUGGAAAAAACCUCUAAUAGGGUUUCUUUUGGAAUUUUCCAUUUCAAUCACUCUUGUAGAUAUUUAAUGGAUUUUCUACCCUGUCUUUGGCAUUCGCGGGAAUUAUCUAAAAGUUAAAAUCAAGCCCUAAAAUGGAACACAGGUAGACAAAUAAGCCCAUCUGGAGAGCAGUCUUUAUAGAAUGACAAUGUGAUCUCACGCUGAAAAUUUAGUACAAAUGUCUUAAAUCUGGUGUGAAAACCCUAUUUGCCAUAUAAUCUUAAGCAAUGUAAUACUAACCCAUUUCCUCACCUUUCUAAUCCUGCUGAAAUUCCCAGCAAUUCAGAAAUACUAAACUAUGGGCUUUUGGCAGGGGCAUCCUCACCAAUGAAUCACAUUUCUCCCCACUUUAGGUAACCAGUGGGCCCAAGCCAUGCUGAAAAAUCUGAUCUUUUCUCCUAGGCUGUGUGUGAACAGCACCGCAUAUGUGUGCAAGUCUCCAAUGACUGGGCAUCCAGCCACAUCUAUGAAAUUGUGGAAUUUGUGCUCAUGCACAGAUGUGCACCAACGCCAUGCCAGGCCUCAGACCAGAGCACUCAGAAUCCUGACGCUUGCGGAAGAAACUGAUGGUUCAAGCAAUAUUCAAGUCAUUCUAUGGUGCUGAUGAUUCUCACAAACCAUGAUACAUUUGAGAGAUAGCAUGAUUAGUACCCAGGGCACAAGACUGGGACUUGGGAUAUGUGGAUGCUAUUCCCAGCUCUGCCCCUACCCUGCUGUAUGCCCAGGGUAAGUCACUUCAUCUCUCUCGGCCUCUGAUUCUCCUCCUACCCUUUGCCUGUCUUAUCUAUUGAGGGUGAGAUUUUGAAAAGUACUGAGUGAGUUAAGAGUCAGUGUGGCUUGUGCUCUUAAUUCAUCCAAGCACGUUUACCUCACUCUGUGUGUUACAUCUAUUGAGAUGGCAAGUUCCUUAGUACAAGGACGUGUUUGACUUUAUACAAUGCCUAGCACAAUGACCAUUCUGAGAUGGGACCUCUAGGUUCUAGUGUAAUACAAAUAUUACUUUUUUUUAAAAAGUAGAUUAUAUUUGGGUAGAAUUUUAUGACAUCUACCAUAAUGACAGCUAAGGAACUUAAUUCUUCAUGCCUAUAUGCAGUACUUUAUUAUUCCAUAACAUGGACUGUUUUGCCAGUAUUUAUUCUGGUGGUGUGUGUACACUACAAUUUUAAAAAAGGGUUAAGAUGUCUCAUAUUAUAGUAUAAUAAUGGAGUUAUACAUUCAAAUUCCUUAUAUUUUAAAAAACAUACAGUAGGAAUAGCUACUCUGAAAAGGCCACUGAUUCAUUUAAUUUGUUAACCUGACUCUGGAAGUUGCCAAUACUUGUGCCUCAUUACUGGUAACACCUAGAUUAAUAGAGUUUAAGGUCUGAAGAGACUAUCAGCUCAUCUAGUCUGACAUGUAUAACACAGACCAGAGAAUUGCAUCAUGACUGGAGCAUAUCCUUCCAGCAAAGCAUCCAAUUUUGAUUUGAAGACUUCAUAAGAUGGAGAAUCCACCACUUCCCUUGGUAGUUUUUUCCCUCACUGGUAAAAAUUUGUGUCUUAUUUCUAAUAUGCAUUUGUCUGGAUAUAAUUCUAGCCAUUGGUUCUUAUUAUGAUUGUCUCCACUAGAUUAAAUACCCCUUAAUACCCAGUAUUUUCUCCCUGAGGAGGCAUGUAUACCUUCCACACUACAUAAUGUAGUAGGAUGAAUUAUGCAAUUCUACUGCACCGAGGAACACAUUUAGUGCUAACCCAAUGCUAGAACAACGUAUGCUCCAAAUGAUGGGAUUUGAUAUCCAUGUAAUUUUUUAAUCUAUACAGUGAUAUAGUACUUAUAUAAAUACGUAACCCUUCCUUGAACACCUCUAAACUACUAUUCUCUUCAAUAGUUUCCCACAGGAGUGAAUCCCAUAGGUUGUUCGCAUGCUGAUAUGGCUUUUUAAACUAUUCUUGUCUAUCCAUUUUAAAUAUAUGCCCUUAUAAUUUCUCAAAUUUCCAGCUGUUUUGAACUUGUAGGACAUUUUGAAGCGAUGUAGCCAAUCAGCGUUCAUCACUAUCAUGUUACAUUGCUCUAUUAACUCUCUUCUUUGUUCAGGACUAGAUCAUUUUAGGCUUAAUUUCUAUACACAUAGAAUAUCAACCCCCCAGCCACAAAGCUCUUUCCUGUAUCGUAUAUGUUGUUUUGGGGCUGCAGGGAUAAAAUGAUCAAAACCGAAAGAGUAUUUGAAGUGUAGAUUCCCAUCAAAAUGUUUGGGCUAAGUCAGUGGAACUAUGCUGAUUUAUUCCUUCUGAGGAUCAGGUCCCAAAAUGCCAUCAAUGUUUUUGAUAUUGUUCAAAUAUGCCAAAGCAGCUUCCUUCCAACCCUUUUUAAUUGAGACUUUGCUGUUGCUUUUCUUGAGACCAAACAGGAAUGUGCAUCCAGUAUGUUUACCGUUAACGCUAAUAGUGGUUUUAAUUCACUUUAUUUGAAGAUAAAUAUUCUGAUAUAUCCUAAAGUUUUCAGCUUGCGAUGCCGCAGUUUUGUUUGAAUGUAAUUCAGAUCUAGCAUCUUAUGUGGUGAGUUCAUUCCAGACAAAUGGUUAAACAAAUCCAGUGUGUCAGAACUUCAGGCAUUGUACUCUGGGGAAAGUCACUGGCAGAAUGCAUACUUUGGAGCAUUUUUCCAUUAUCACAUGGGAUUCUUAGCCCUGAGAUUGUUCUGCUUGAAACACGCAUCUCCUUGGAUAUUGCAUAAUAGAGAGAUCAGAUUUCCAGUACUCUUAGGAAUGAUUUUCACAAGGAUAGGAAGAAACAUAUUUCCCAUUUUGGGAAAUAGAAGAAGCCACUCUCAACAGAAAGAAAAGUUUAAGAUUGCAAAAGAAACAUCAGGUUGGAAUGUUAUGGAAGUUAUAUAUAUCUGUAGCAAUCAAUGUGGUUUGUACAGAAUAUCAGUGUAAGUGGCUAUUGAAUUAAGAGAUGUCUUUCCCCUGUAAUUUACACUACAAAUUCAGUGUAAAAAUUCUGCUGUUUCAUUGGACUAAUUCCAUUACCUUACUGAGUGAUAGAAAUUACAUUUGUUUUCUUUAGGCUCUAAAAUACAGACAUAAUAAACCAAUAGAAAGAAAAGGAAAAAAAAAAGAGCGAUACUGAUGUUUUUUUUUAGGGAUGAGAGAACCCAGAAUAUUUGGGUUAGGAAAUCAGCUGAAUAUUUGUUAUGGAAUUUUGAAGAAAGCCAAACUUUUUGAAGUCUGUGUUCUGGGUUAGACUUCUGUUUGCAGUUCUGAGUUGUGUAAUUAAAAGAAACAUACAGAGAACUCACAUGAAUUUUAGUUUCUGCCAAAAGAUGCAUUGUUCAUGAUUGUUUUACUAAUUUUUGCUUUAACCCAUAAGAUACUAAUAUUUUCCAGUCUGACAGCCAAACUAAUGCUUAGGAAAGGUAUGUAUUUGUGGGUGUACAUACAUGCAUUAUGUCUGCCACAUCUAUCCCCAGUGAGACAAUAUGAGUAGUUGCUCAAAUCUGGUCAUUCUUUGAAGCCAUGCAUUAAAAUCAUCACACUUAUAUAGUACUCAGGUUACUAAAGCAUUGAGAAAGAGUAGAUUUUUCUACGAAAUUGUUAUUUAAUAUCUAUUUGAAGUUUGAAGUAUUUGAAUCUCUCAUUGAAAAUGAAAUUUAUCCCAAAUAAACCAUUUUCACCUGUA
Molecule: long non-coding RNA, 4923 nt
Organism: Malaclemys terrapin pileata
Lineage: Eukaryota; Metazoa; Chordata; Testudines; Emydidae
Exons: 8
Source: RefSeq, a predicted model, not a curated record